AUUUAAUCGGGAAAUGAUGCAAGGAUCAAAUAAAAUCAAGAUGAAAGGCCCCUAAUACAUGGCAUAUGAGAUGAACAAGGGAGGAUCAAAAGAUCUCUUCAAUUGCCUUAAGCAAUCCCUAAGUCAAACAUCAUUCAUAGAAAAGUCAACUUGAAAAAUAUGGAAUAAAUAGUAAAUUAAUCAAGAAAAUUAUGAAAAAUUAAACUAAGUUAGGUGGGGUCAGGACAUCAUCAUCC
RNAcentral lists this long non-coding RNA (236 nucleotides) under Lathyrus oleraceus (garden pea). RNAcentral's name for it is "Pisum sativum (pea) long non-coding RNA (PSAT_LNC041029)". The record is from RNAcentral. Lineage: Eukaryota; Viridiplantae; Streptophyta; Magnoliopsida; Fabales; Fabaceae.